This 432-nucleotide small RNA is filed under the name Pan troglodytes (chimpanzee). RNAcentral describes it as "processed transcript". Lineage: Eukaryota; Metazoa; Chordata; Mammalia; Primates; Hominidae. The record is from RNAcentral.
AGGGUCUGCAGUGGCCUGGUGUCACCUCUGCAGAAGCAGCUGUUCUGUGGCCCAAUGGUGAUCCUGAAGGACCUGGAGGUGCUGGCAGAAAUCGCUUCCUCCCCCGCAGGCCAGACGGAUGACCCAGGCCCCCUCGAUGGCCCUGACCUCCAGGCCAGCCACUCAGAGCUCCAGGUGCCCACCCCUGGCAGAGCCGGCCUACUGAACACCUCCGGUACCAAAGGCUUAGAAUGUUCUCCUUCCACUCCCACCAUGAAUUCUUACUUUUAUAAGUUCAUGAUCAACCUUCUCAAGAGAUUCAGCAGCGAACGGAAGCUCCUGGAGGUCAGAGGCCCUUUCAUCAUCAGAAAUGAAGAAGGUUGCCCCUUCAUACUAGUUGCUGAUGCUUCUGACAUGAAACAGACAGGUCAGUGUUGAUGUUUUUCCGCAAAA